GUGCCCGUAGUUCAGUUGGAUAGAACGCUUGGUUGCGGACCAAGUGGUCGGGGGUUCGAGUCCCUCCGGGCACG
RNAcentral lists this transfer RNA (74 nucleotides) under Thermobaculum terrenum ATCC BAA-798. It matches the Rfam family "tRNA". From Rfam's summary of the family: Transfer RNA (tRNA) molecules are approximately 80 nucleotides in length. Their secondary structure includes four short double-helical elements and three loops (D, anti-codon, and T loops). Lineage: Bacteria; Bacillati; Chloroflexota; Chloroflexia; Thermobaculales (SeqCode); Thermobaculaceae (SeqCode). The record is from Rfam by way of RNAcentral.